RNAcentral lists this ribosomal RNA (327 nucleotides) under uncultured eukaryote. Its description in RNAcentral is "partial 18S ribosomal RNA". It matches the Rfam family "Eukaryotic small subunit ribosomal RNA", at positions 1470 to 1796 of the family's 1831-position model. The record is from RNAcentral.
CCCUUAGAUGUUCUGGGCCGCACACGCGCUACACUGAAGGAGGCAGCGUGUACUCCUGGAUCGAAAGAUUUGGGUAACCCGCGAAUCUCCUUCGUGCUAGGGAUUGCGGUUUGCAAUUAUCCUUCAUGAACGAGGAAUUCCCAGUAAGUGCAAGUCAUAAGCUUGCGCUGACUACGUCCCUGCCCUUUGUACACACCGCCCGUCGCUACUACCGAUUGAAUGAUUUAGUGAGGACUUCGGACUGGGACCGAUGCGGCUUUCGGGCUGCGUCGGUAUUCUGGAAAGAUGUCCAAACUGUAUCAUUUAGAGGAAGUAAAAGUCGUAACA